Molecule: ribosomal RNA, 468 nt
Filed under: uncultured bacterium
Lineage: Bacteria
Description: partial 16S ribosomal RNA
Rfam family: Bacterial small subunit ribosomal RNA
Source: RNAcentral
GACGAACGCUGGCGGCGUGCUUAACACAUGCAAGUCGAACGGAAAGGCCCUGCUUUUGUGGGGUGCUCGAGUGGCGAACGGGUGAGUAACACGUGAGUAACCUGCCCUUGACUUUGGGAUAACUUCAGGAAACUGGGGCUAAUACCGGAUAGGAGCUCCUGCUGCAUGGUGGGGGUUGGAAAGUUUCGGCAGUUGGGGAUGGACUCGCGGCUUAUCAGCUUGUUGGUGGGGUAGUGGCUUACCAAGGCUUUGACGGGUAGCCGGCCUGAGAGGGUGACCGGCCACAUUGGGACUGAGAUACGGCCCAGACGCCUACGGGAGGCAGCAGUGGGGAAUAUUGCACAAUGGGCGGAAGCCUGAUGCAGCAACGCCGCGUGCGGGAUGACGGCCUUCGGGUUGUAAACCGCUUUCGCCUGUGACGAAGCGUGAGUGACGGUAAUGGGUAAAGAAGCACCGGCUAACUACGUG